GCAAGUCGAACGAUGAACCCCGCUUGCGGGGGGAUUAGUGGCGAACGGGUGAGUAACACGUGAGUAACCUGCCCUUAACUCUGGGAUAAGCCUUGGAAACGAGGUCUAAUACUGGAUAUUGACUUUACCUCGCAUGGGGUUUUGUUGAAAGAUUUAUUGGUUUUGGAUGGACUCGCGGCCUAUCAGCUUGUUGGUGAGGUAAUGGCUCACCAAGGCGACGACGGGUAGCCGGCCUGAGAGGGUGACCGGCCACACUGGGACUGAGACACGGCCCAGACUCCUACGGGAGGCAGCAGUGGGGAAUAUUGCACAAUGGGCGAAAGCCUGAUGCAGCGACGCCGCGUGAGGGAUGACGGCCUUCGGGUUGUAAACCUCUUUCAGUAGGGAACAAGGCCAGCAUUUUUGUUGGUUGAGGGUACUUGCAGAAGAAGCGCCGGCUAACUACGUGCCAGCAGCCGCGGUAAUACGUAGGGCGCAAGCGUUAUCCGGAAUUAUUGGGCGUAAAGAGCUCGUAGGCGGUUUGUCGCGUCUGCCGUGAAAGUCCGGGGCUCAACCCCGGAUCUGCGGUGGGUACGGGCAGACUAGAGUGAUGUAGGGGAGACUGGAAUUCCUGGUGUAGCGGUGAAAUGCGCAGAUAUCAGGAGGAACACCGAUGGCGAAGGCAGGUCUCUGGGCAUUAACUGACGCUGAGGAGCGAAAGCAUGGGGAGCGAACAGGAUUAGAUACCCUGGUAGUCCAUGCCGUAAACGUUGGGCACUAGGUGUGGGGGACAUUCCACGUUUUCCGCGCCGUAGCUAACGCAUUAAGUGCCCCGCCUGGGGAGUACGGCCGCAAGGCUAAAACUCAAAGGAAUUGACGGGGGCCCGCACAAGCGGCGGAGCAUGCGGAUUAAUUCGAUGCAACGCGAAGAACCUUACCAAGGCUUGACAUGAACCGGAAAUACCUGGAAACAGGUGCCCCGCUUGCGGUCGGUUUACAGGUGGUGCAUGGUUGUCGUCAGCUCGUGUCGUG
Molecule: ribosomal RNA, 1011 nt
Filed under: Arthrobacter glacialis
Lineage: Bacteria; Bacillati; Actinomycetota; Actinomycetes; Micrococcales; Micrococcaceae
Description: bacterial SSU rRNA
Rfam family: Bacterial small subunit ribosomal RNA
Source: RNAcentral